This 229-nucleotide ribosomal RNA is filed under the name uncultured bacterium. Its description in RNAcentral is "partial 16S ribosomal RNA". It matches the Rfam family "Bacterial small subunit ribosomal RNA", at positions 568 to 796 of the family's 1533-position model. The record is from RNAcentral.
CGUGUAGGCGGUUAGUUAAGUCUGAUGUGAAAGCCCCGGGCUCAACCUGGGAAGUGCAUUGGAAACUGGCAAACUUGAGUACGGGAGAGGGAAGUGGAAUUUCGAGUGUAGGGGUGAAAUCCGUAGAUAUUUGAAGGAACACCAGUGGCGAAGGCGGCUUCCUGGACCGAUACUGACGCUGAGACGCGAAAGCGUGGGUAGCGAACAGGAUUAGAUACCCUGGUAGUCC